AGGCAGCAGUGGGGAAUAUUGCGCAGUGGACGAAAGUCUGACGCAGCGACGCCGCGUGAGGGAUGAAGGUUUUCGGAUCGUAAACCUCUGUCAGGAGGGAAGAAAGCGUAUGGCGCCAAUCAGCCAUGCGUUGACGGUACCUCCAAAGGAAGCGCCGGCUAACUCCGUGCCAGCAGCCGCGGUAAU
This 186-nucleotide ribosomal RNA is filed under the name uncultured bacterium. Its description in RNAcentral is "partial 16S ribosomal RNA". It matches the Rfam family "Bacterial small subunit ribosomal RNA", at positions 346 to 524 of the family's 1533-position model. The record is from RNAcentral.